GUGCACGCUGGCGGUAGGCCUAACACAUGCAAGUCGAACGGCAGCACCGUAAGAGCUUGCUCUUACGGGUGGCGAGUGGCGGACGGGUGAGGAAUACAUCGGAAUCUACUUUUUCGUGGGGGAUAACGUAGGGAAACUUACGCUAAUACCGCAUACGACCUACGGGUGAAAGCAGGGGAUCUUCGGACCUUGCGCGAUUGAAUGAGCCGAUGUCGGAUUAGCUAGUUGGCGGGGUAAAGGCCCACCAAGGCGACGAUCCGUAGCUGGUCUGAGAGGAUAAUCAGCCACACUGGAACUGAGACACGGUCCAGACUCCUACGGGAGGCAGCAGUGGGGAAUAUUGGACAAUGGGCGCAAGCCUGAUCCAGCCAUACCGCGUGGGUGAAGAAGGCCUUCGGGUUGUAAAGCCCUUUUGUCGGGAAAGAAAAGCAGCAGGUUAAUACCCCGCUGUUCUGACGGUACCCAAAGAAUAAGCACCGGCUAACUUCGUG
RNAcentral lists this ribosomal RNA (491 nucleotides) under uncultured bacterium. RNAcentral describes it as "partial 16S ribosomal RNA". It matches the Rfam family "Bacterial small subunit ribosomal RNA", at positions 29 to 507 of the family's 1533-position model. The record is from RNAcentral.